GCAGUCGAGCGGUAGAGAGAAGCUUGCUUCUCUUGAGAGCGGCGGACGGGUGAGUAAUGCCUAGGAAUCUGCCUGGUAGUGGGGGAUAACGUCCGGAAACGGACGCUAAUACCGCAUACGUCCUACGGGAGAAAGCAGGGGACCUUCGGGCCUUGCGCUAUCAGAUGAGCCUAGGUCGGAUUAGCUAGUUGGUGGGGUAAUGGCUCACCAAGGCGACGAUCCGUAACUGGUCUGAGAGGAUGAUCAGUCACACUGGAACUGAGACACGGUCCAGACUCCUACGGGAGGCAGCAGUGGGGAAUAUUGGACAAUGGGCGAAAGCCUGAUCCAGCCAUGCCGCGUGUGUGAAGAAGGUCUUCGGAUUGUAAAGCACUUUAAGUUGGGAGGAAGGGCAGUAAAUUAAUACUUUGCUGUUUUGACGUUACCGACAGAAUAAGCACCGGCUAACUCUGUGCCAGCAGCCGCGGUAAUACAGAGGGUGCAAGCGUUAAUCGGAAUUACUGGGCGUAAAGCGCGCGUAGGUGGUUCGUUAAGUUGGAUGUGAAAUCCCCGGGCUCAACCUGGGAACUGCAUUCAAAACUGACGAGCUAGAGUAUGGUAGAGGGUGGUGGAAUUUCCUGUGUAGCGGUGAAAUGCGUAGAUAUAGGAAG
This 650-nucleotide ribosomal RNA is filed under the name uncultured bacterium. Its description in RNAcentral is "bacterial SSU rRNA". It matches the Rfam family "Bacterial small subunit ribosomal RNA", at positions 57 to 703 of the family's 1533-position model. The record is from RNAcentral.